RNAcentral lists this non-coding RNA (20 nucleotides) under Arabidopsis thaliana (thale cress). The record is from RNAcentral. Lineage: Eukaryota; Viridiplantae; Streptophyta; Magnoliopsida; Brassicales; Brassicaceae.
UAUUCCAGGAUAUGCAAAAG